AUCAGGGUUCAGCACCUCGCCCCCUUUGCUCGGCCCGGGGCUGCCUCCCGGGGCCGGGAGCGGGGGAACGCAGCCCGUGGGCCCUCGGGGCUGUCAGAGCUGAGGCUGAACCCUGAUCCCGGCCUGGCCCGGUGCCCGCAGCCCAGCCAGACCUAAUCUGGGUCCGCGCGCUGCCCAUGGUUAAUGAGCUUCCCCGUGGUUCCUCCAAGGCUCCUUUGUGGCUGUAAUCAAAGCCUGGGGCUGAGGGAAACGCGCUGCUGCCUGUAUUCAUGCCUCAGAGCCAGGGAAUCCCCGUCGCCGCCCGCCUGGCCGGACCCUUCAUA
This 323-nucleotide long non-coding RNA is filed under the name Anser brachyrhynchus (Pink-footed goose). Its description in RNAcentral is "lncRNA (ENSABRG00000001273.1)". The record is from RNAcentral. Lineage: Eukaryota; Metazoa; Chordata; Aves; Anseriformes; Anatidae.